GCAAAGGGAGGAGGCGAGCGAGGGGAGGCGAAGCGGCGAUCCCAAACGCGCCGCGUCUAGGCCGGCCGCCGCCUCCUCGACUGGCCGGGGCGGCAGGCAGGCAGGAGCGUGCCCCGGCGCCGGGCUGCGGCCGGCGGAGGAGGCAGCUAGGCUAGGCACUCGCGGAGGGAAGGGAAGGUAAAGGGGUUUUGAGGCAAAGGGGUUUGAGGUAGGGAGGGAGGGGCUAGAUUAGGGCAGCGGCUUAGGUCGCGACGGCCGCUCCCUCCUACAGAGGCGGCGGCCGCAGCGGGCGCGAGAGGCGCGUCUUCGAGUGGUGGUUGCUGCGGGAGCGGAUGGAGUUCCGGCAGUUCCUGUUCAAGGUGCUGUUGGCGCGGUUCAUGCUGCUCAAGGAGCUCCAGUACGCGCUGAAGUUCUCGCGGUCCUAGCUGUGCCGCCCGCAGUAGUAGGCCCACUUCUGCGAGAAGUCGCCGAUGGGCCUCGAGUAGGAGCCGAAGUUGCGGAAGGACGGGUUCCCGAAGCGGUAGUUCGACGUCCUGUAGCUGCCGCCGCGGCGGCCGCUGUUCUUCGUCGGGCAGCUGAAGUACCUCCGGUAGUUGAAGCAGUUGUUCUAGUUCCGGUCCAAGGUCCGGGUCCUGGUGCAGAUGUUCCGGAAGGAGCGGUAGGAGUUGUACAUGGCGUACGUGUUGUUCAGGUAGGUCCUGCAUAUGGUCCUCCAACGAUACGACAAGGUACUGGUGCGGCUGGACGAGCUCCUCAAGUUCGUAAAGAACGGACUAUGCAGGUUGCGAGGCGUUCACGACCGGCGAGGAUUUCGGCAAAGGCGGUUUGUCCUCCGGGGGCGUGGCGGAAGACGGUCACGGUCCUUACACGUCUCGUAGUUCUCUCUCUCCGGAGUCGGCAGUUGACGACUCGCGCUGUCGUCACAACUAGCGGGACUAGAGCUCGUACUGGGGCUGUCCUUCGCACAGCUGUUCCUUUUCCUAGUAUUCUAGCUGGCCCUGUCUUUUCUAGUACUGUUCCUACGACUCAUGCUUUCGUUUCUAAACCUACCCCCUGACGCGUUCGCGUUUCGAAAUAGUUUCUUCGACCUCCCACUGUGUGUGGUUCCCCGCCGUUCGUAGAGACGAAGCAGCAUGUUACUAUUACUACGUUACUUUUCACGCAUGUGUGUUCUCAAGGAAAAGACACUCUUUCAGUUCCUCUUCGAUCUCGGACUUCGAAUGGUCCUCAAGAACUUUACGGAAGUGUAUAUGUCGGUCCUUUAUUAAUGUUCUUCACUUAACUUUUUAGACCAUGUACUGUAUGAAGUCGCGAUGGGUCUCGAAUACUGACCUAAAUCGCUCAAGAACCUUGUGACACUUUUGUAUCUACCAAAAGACCUACCUCAGUAGUUAUUUUCCGUUUGUAGUGCUUGUCAGUUCCGUGACCUGUUUCUCUCUCUAUUUCCCGCACGUCCCCUCCUGUCCCUUUCUCUACGACUUUUUGACUCGCUUUUCCUUGCUCUUUCCGAACUGUUUCACAGACGCGAGUUAAGAUUCCUUCGGUGAUGGGUGUUUCGACGACGCAAGAGACGGUUUCUCUUCAUGGAUACGUUCGGUUAUAGUCUCGAACUGGAGAGUUUGACAGUCGCCACGUGAGGGUCAAUGGCCGAAGACGGAUUUUUAAUGGGACACGGACGAAGUUCAACGUCUUGACUGGAACCUUAGAGACACGAGUUACUAGUGACCCAUAGUCAAUGGAGUCCUUCGCUUCUAAUAAGUAAAUUUGUGUACGCCUUCUUAGUCAUACUUCUUUCGAACAAAUCUACGCUUCUACUGUCCAAACUCAACCUGUACGACGACCUUAGUCAAUUACACCGCUAAUUCGCACAACUCCUCAACUAUCUUUUUUACGUUCUUUUAAGUUAGUUUGGUCUGUCGGGAUAUGCGUAGCUACUUGUAAACUGGAGAGACUUAAACUCCACGUAUCUUGCCGAUAUACCACUGGUACCGGAACUACAGUACCUACAAGAAGCAUUUUUACGCUCACACCGUAAUGGUCAAUAGAAUUGAUCCGAAUUCGUUUUCGUCCUCCUUACCAGUUCAAAGAUAAAGUUUGUUGUUCUAUGCUUCUUAGACUCGUGUUCUCGAGAUAACAGACUCUAGUUUCUUUAAUUACUCUUCUUUUCCUUUCUCCUACUACACGAAGAACGAUAACGACGACCCUUAUCCGCCGGUUAUCAAGGGUUAUACAGUAAACUCAUACAUCUAAGUCUUUAGGUACUUCUACAAAUAGUCUAGUAGUUCAUGAGAACACCUCUUCAGACGUCGAGAGGUCUAGUUCAACUGUUUCACUACUCUUGGACCUGUUGUAAACACCUUGGAUAAGACCCUCAAGUUGGGGCUUGUGAACGGCAACUUCUACGUCAGUGACAAUUCGUUCGAUUACCUCUACUUUCGUAAGGCUUCCUUUUUCGUGUUAGAAGAGCACCAAAUAACCGCUUACCUCAAAGUCUUCUACGAGUUUUACCAAAGGUACUACGACUAGCUUGACAGGCGUCUCCGCUCCCCGGUAGAUUGUGAAGUAAUGUAGUCUGACUUGUCUUAGUCGCCUCUUGUUUAUACCUCGAAUGCAGUCCAUGAUUAAGAAGGUCUCCAUUAAAGAGGCCUUCACUCCGACAACAACUUCGAUACCCACCGUUACUUUGUUAAGGUAGAUAUCCCUCUCCUCUUCGACCCUCCGGUCCUAGACACGGAGUCUUCUUAAGUUUCCAACUUUCUCUUCUCCCUCUUAAUAGAGGAUUACCCCUAAAACUUCUCCUCUUAAAACCCGGAGAUCCUUUACGUCGACCUCUGCCUCGAAGUUUCGGCUUCCUUCAAAGACGACCAUCUCGAUCUCGUCGACUCAAACGACCUCUCUUACUACGACUACGCCUGCUACUUCCACUGCUUUCACGGGUCUCUAGAUGUCUUUCACUUUUACGCAGACCAUCACUUAGACCACUGCCGCUCCUCACAAGAGCCCUUCUAUUGCUCCUGCUUCUCCUACGACUAGGACUACGAUUCCAACUUUCACUCCCACUCCGUCUCCCUUUGUGUCUCCGUGUACUACGGCUGCCUCCCUACAGUGAUGGCAAAAGUCUCGCAAACGUAUUAUGUCAAUCUGGCGAGCGGUUCGUACAGGGGUGUCGAAACGUCCUAGUACCGCCCUUCAAAAGUGCGUAUAAAAUACCUUUACUAAGUAAAAUACAAGACAAGUCCGAUGUGGUCUAGAAUAUGCUCUCUGAUGAUAGUCGGUUCUGUUUGAGAAGGUGCCGACUUUUCUUCACCUCUUGAAGGUUCCUAUGCUCGAGGGGUGUGGUUAUGAGUUUCAAAUACCCACGUGAAAUAUUGAACUAACUACCGAGAAGACUGUUGUGGUUUAAGCUCCUGCUGACGGCAAGUUAGUAGCCCUGAGUCAGGAUACAAGAAAAAUGUAAUCUAUUCGACUAUAUGUUUCAACACUUCGUCGAAGUUCGUUAUCGUCGACUACUUUACCUAUUGUUCGACGAGGUCGAAAUAUAUAUACUCUUCAGGUCCAGAGGACCUUCCAAGAAACUAGACCAAAUGGUACUUUUACGAGCCCAAGAAGAGGUACUGCUCUCGUAUAUAGCUAAACUUGCCGCGAGUUUAGGAUGCUCUAAUAGACAAGUCGAGUACCUCAUACCCGUACUUUUCGGACUUCAUUGGCGUCAGAGUUAACUAGGUUUGAAAAGCAGUAUAGAAAUACUGCUCAUGGACAGCUCAUAAAGCCUAAGUUUCCACAGACUUCUACACAAGGAACUCUCCUUAUUCGCCUUUGCGCCCUCGUCGUUACCGGGAGUUCGAAGCAACCGCCAGUACCUACCAAAGUUCCAGCGCUUACCGGAACUUACGUUCUAUUGGACGUUUAGGAGUUUCCAAAGCAUACAGGAACUAUGUCUUCUGAAAAAUAAGGCAUACUCCUUGUCCUCCUCUUAGAGCAGACCACGUUGUGGGCGGCGGCGUGGACCGUUCCGGCUAAAACAGUUCCGUCGACUACAGCACUUUCGCGUUGCCAAAGUAUUUAAAGAAGAAAGAUCCAGGAUCCCGGUACGACCGUCUAAGACGGUACGAUAGUAGAUUAGGUCUCUGCUGGGGCUGCACGAAACUUGUUUACGCCACCCAUUUUUCGUAAAACCUUCUUCUACUCGGCCACGGCUCUCCCGGCGACCUCGACCAUUUAUGGUUGGUUGGUUGGUUUCGUAAAACGCCGCCAGAACAACAAUUCAACAAUGGGCUAGGCUAGGCUACGCUACGCUACGGCGACGACGACCCUUACACAUAUAAUAAUUACAAUACAUAUUGGGUCUUCUCUUAGGUACUCCCUCCCCUCCCUCCCUCCCUCCAGGCUAGUUGACUAGUAACAAUCAACAAUGACAGGUAUACAAAAAAACAAACAACGACAAUGUAAACGAAACCACCACUUCGUUUACGUCUGAACUAAGUUUAGACCUGUAACGAUAUAUAUAAACAAACCACUACGGUAGACG
RNAcentral lists this ribosomal RNA (4528 nucleotides) under Triticum aestivum (bread wheat). RNAcentral describes it as "partial small subunit ribosomal RNA". Lineage: Eukaryota; Viridiplantae; Streptophyta; Magnoliopsida; Poales; Poaceae. The record is from RNAcentral.